Rosa chinensis is the source of this 520-nucleotide long non-coding RNA. RefSeq lists it as uncharacterized. The record is from RefSeq and is a predicted model, not a curated record. The transcript has 3 exons. Lineage: Eukaryota; Viridiplantae; Streptophyta; Magnoliopsida; Rosales; Rosaceae.
CGGGAAACCCCAGUUUCUCUCUCUCUCUCCCCGCGUCCGAAACAGGCCGAAACAGAGCAAUGCUUUCCGGCCACAGUUCUCCGCCCUCCGGCCACCAAACGACGCCAGACCACCUCCCUUGCCUUCGCCUCGACUCCCUGCAGCUGCUGGACGUGGUGGUUUCCACCGGCACGUCCUGAAAACCGGCGAACCAGCGGUGUUCCGAUCCGAGCUCAAAACGGAGUCAACUCCGAUAUCUCUUGAUUCCGACCACCAAUCUUCAAGUUUCUUGGCUUUUUGAACUCGCCUCAGCCUUCUUAUCAAACCCCAAGAAGGAUCGCUCAAGUGGUGGACGUUUUCGAGCUCGUCGGAGCCUCGUCGGAAAACUGGACAAAUCCGGCCACCUAGACUGUUUAGGUGAUUGACGGUCUUCCUUGGUGAGCGGUUGUAGCGUGUUUUGUAAAAUUGAAGACGCAGCGGGAUUAGAGCGGGUAGUGUCACAGGUCAGGAGAAUCAGGGCAGUGAUCGUGCGGUUUAGAAA